UACGUAGGGUGCGAGCGUUGUCCGGAAUUAUUAGGCGUAAAGGGCUCGUAGGCGGUUUGUCGCGUCGGGAGUGAAAACCCAGGGCUUAACCCUGGGCUGGCUUCCGAUACGGGCAGACUAGAGGUAUGCAGGGGAGAACGGAAUUCCUGGUGUAGCGGUGAAAUGCGCAGAUAUCAGGAGGAACACCGGUGGCGAAGGCGGUUCUCUGGGCAUUACCUGACGCUGAGGAGCGAAAGUGUGGGGAGCGAACAGG
This 253-nucleotide ribosomal RNA is filed under the name uncultured bacterium. RNAcentral's name for it is "partial 16S ribosomal RNA". It matches the Rfam family "Bacterial small subunit ribosomal RNA", at positions 524 to 776 of the family's 1533-position model. The record is from RNAcentral.